RNAcentral lists this ribosomal RNA (253 nucleotides) under uncultured bacterium. Its description in RNAcentral is "partial 16S ribosomal RNA". It matches the Rfam family "Bacterial small subunit ribosomal RNA", at positions 524 to 776 of the family's 1533-position model. The record is from RNAcentral.
UACGUAGGGGGCAAGCGUUGUCCGGAUUCAUUGGGCGUAAAGCGCGUGUAGGCGGCUUUGCAAGUCGGAUGUGAAAUCCCACGGCUCAACCGUGGAAGUGCAUCCGAAACUGCAUCGCUGGAGUCUCGGAGAGGAAGGUGGAAUGCUUGGUGUAGAGGUGAAAUUCGUAGAUAUCAAGCAGAACACCUGCGGCGAAGGCGGCCUUCUGGACGAUGACUGACGCUGAGACGCGAAAGCGUGGGGAGCAAACAGG